Molecule: ribosomal RNA, 446 nt
Filed under: uncultured bacterium
Lineage: Bacteria
Description: partial 16S ribosomal RNA
Rfam family: Bacterial small subunit ribosomal RNA
Source: RNAcentral
CCUACGGGUGGCAGCAGUCGAGAAUUAUUCACAAUGGGGGAAACCCUGAUGGUGCGACGCCGCGUGGGGGAAUGAAGGUCUUCGGAUUGUAAACCCCUGUCAUGUGGGAGCAAAUUAAAAAGAUAGUACCACAAGAGGAAGAGACGGCUAACUCUGUGCCAGCAGCCGCGGUAAUACAGAGGUCUCAAGCGUUGUUCGGAAUCACUGGGCGUAAGGCGUGCUUAGGCUGUUUCGUAAGUCGUGUGUGAAAGGCGCGGGCUCAACCCGCGGACGGCACAUGAUACUGCGAGACUAGAGUAAUGGAGGGGGAACCGGAAUUCUCGGUGUAGCAGUGAAAUGCGUAGAUAUCGAGAGGAACACUCGUGGCGAAGGCGGGUUCCUGGACAUUAACUGACGCUGAGGCACGAAGGCCAGGGGAGCGAAAGGGAUUAGAUACCCCAGUAGUC